RNAcentral lists this ribosomal RNA (1159 nucleotides) under human gut metagenome. RNAcentral's name for it is "bacterial LSU rRNA". It matches the Rfam family "Bacterial large subunit ribosomal RNA", at positions 1780 to 2925 of the family's 2925-position model. The record is from RNAcentral.
CAGUGAAUAGGCCCAGGCAACUGUUUACCAAAAACACAGGUCUCUGCUAACACGUAAGUGGAUGUAUAGGGGCUGACGCCUGCCCAGUGCUGGAAGGUUAAAGAGAUUAGUUAGUAUGACGUAAGUCGAUAAUACGAAGCUUUGAACUGAAGCCCCAGUGAACGGCGGCCGUAACUAUAACGGUCCUAAGGUAGCGAAAUUCCUUGUCAGGUAAGUUCUGACCCGCACGAAAGGCGUAAUGAUCUGGGUACUGUCUCAACCAUAGACUCGGUGAAAUCUUAAUACCUGUGAAAAUGCAGGUUACCCGCGACUGGACGGAAAGACCCCGUGGAGCUUUACUGUAGCUUGAUAUUGGAAUUCGGUAAACUAUGUAGAGCAUAGGUGGGAGACUAUGAGAUUAAGGCGCCAGCCUUAAAGGAGUCACCAUUGGAAUACCACCCUUAGUUUAUUGGAUUUCUAACCUAGGACCAUAAUCUGGUUCAGGGACAGUGUCUGGUGGGCAGUUUGACUGGGGCGGUCGCCUCCUAAAGAGUAACGGAGGCGUUCAAAGGUUCCCUCAGAAUGGUUGGAAAUCAUUCAAAGAGCAUAAAGGUAUAAGGGAGCUUGACUGCAAGACCUACAAGUCAAGCAGGUGCGAAAGCAGGACUUAGUGAUCAGGCGAUUCAGAAUGGAAUGGUCGUCGCUUAACGGAUAAAAGUUACCCCGGGGAUAACAGGCUGAUACCACCCAAUAGUUCACAUAGACGGUGGUGUUUGGCACCUCGAUGUCGGCUCGUCAUAUCCUGGAGGUGGAGUUGCUUCCAAGGGUUGGGCUGUUCGCCCAUUAAAGUGGCACGCGAGCUGGGUUCAGAACGUCGUGAGACAGUUCGGUCCCUAUCCGUCGUGGGCGCAGGAAAAUUGAGGAGAGCUAUCCUUAGUACGAGAGGACCGGGAUGGACCUACCUCUGGUGUAUCUGUUGUCACGCCAGUGGCAGUGCAGAGUAGCUAUGUAGGGAAGGGAUAAACGCUGAAAGCAUCUAAGCGUGAAGCCCUCUCCAAGAUGAGUUUUCCCAUUGUAUAACAAGUAAAAUCCCAGAAAGACUAACUGGUAGAUAGGCUAGAAGUGGAAGUGUAGUGAUACAUUGAGCGGACUAGUACUAAUAGAUUGAGGAUUUAAUCCC